CUGCUGCCUCCCGUAGGAGUCUGGGCCGUGUCUCAGUCCCAAUGUGGCCGUUCAACCCCUCAGUCCGGCUACUGAUCGUCGCUUUGGUGGGCCGUUACCCCGCCAACUGGCUAAUCAGACGCGAGCUCAUCUUUGGACAAUAAAUCUUUGGCAACAGAACCAUGCGAUCCCGUUGCAUUAUGCGGUAUUAGCAGCCGUUUCCGGCUGUUAUCCCCCAUCCAAAGGCAGAUUGCUCACGCGUUACU
RNAcentral lists this ribosomal RNA (245 nucleotides) under uncultured bacterium. RNAcentral describes it as "partial 16S ribosomal RNA". The record is from RNAcentral.